GCCGGCAUAGCUCAGUGGUAGAGCAGCUGAUUCGUAAUCAGCAGGCCCGGGGUUCGAAUCCCCGUGCCGGCUCCA
RNAcentral lists this transfer RNA (75 nucleotides) under Desulfobacca acetoxidans. RNAcentral describes it as "tRNA-Thr". It matches the Rfam family "tRNA". Rfam says of the family: Transfer RNA (tRNA) molecules are approximately 80 nucleotides in length. Their secondary structure includes four short double-helical elements and three loops (D, anti-codon, and T loops). The record is from RNAcentral. Lineage: Bacteria; Pseudomonadati; Thermodesulfobacteriota; Desulfobaccia; Desulfobaccales; Desulfobaccaceae. RNAcentral also lists the same sequence under 2 other names.